This is a small nucleolar RNA of Neoarius graeffei (lesser salmon catfish), 72 nucleotides long. Lineage: Eukaryota; Metazoa; Chordata; Actinopteri; Siluriformes; Ariidae. The record is from RefSeq and is a predicted model, not a curated record.
CUGAUAUGAUGAGUAGCUUAUACCGCCCCAGUCUGAUUUUGAUCUGACUGAUUGGUACCCCUCUGAUCUCUG